CCGGCGCCGAAGAACGGCAGAUACUCGCUCAACCCCGCCAGGGCCGAGAGGCAGCAACGGUCGGUGAGUUCCUCUGGGUGUUCCGAGGCGCUAUCAU
Molecule: signal recognition particle RNA, 97 nt
Filed under: Candidatus Kouleothrix ribensis
Lineage: Bacteria; Bacillati; Chloroflexota; Chloroflexia; Chloroflexales; Roseiflexaceae
Description: signal recognition particle sRNA small type
Rfam family: Bacterial small signal recognition particle RNA
About the family: The signal recognition particle (SRP) is a universally conserved ribonucleoprotein involved in the co-translational targeting of proteins to membranes. Archaeal SRP consists of a 7S RNA and homologues of the eukaryotic SRP19 and SRP54 proteins. In most bacteria, the SRP consists of a 4.5S RNA and the Ffh protein (a homologue of the eukaryotic SRP54 protein).
Source: RNAcentral